CGAAGGUAGAGAAAGAAGGUGCUUGCAAUCUUCUUCCGCGAGCUCAAUUCCUCGACGUUGCGGUCCUCAGGUCCCCUGCAGACCCUGCACUUUACAGAGAGAGAAAGAGAGAGGUGGGGUUCGGAUGCUGCAGCUGCUGUUCGCGACGGCGUUCUUGGCGGCGCCGCUGACGCUGUACGUGCCGCUGAUGCGGACGCUGAACCCGUUCGUGGAGGCGUUGGAGGUGUUCUUCAGGGAGGCCGCCAUGUUUUCGCGGCGCGCGUACCGGUGGAUCCGGCUCGGGGUCCGCCGGAUCCUCGCCGCCGCCUCCUCCCGUUCGUAGAUCUUAUCACUCUCCUUCCUUCUCGUGCUUUUGGGGAGGUUCGUUUGGACCCAUGGAUAAGACAUAAUACUAAAUCUAUGGAUUCUUCCUGGUUGUAUAUAUGAUACAGUUUUGGUUCUUAGAUAUCUGCGAAAUGAGGACAUAAAACCGUGUCAAUUUUCUUAAAUCUUGAAUCCAGAACGAGGCUCUGUGUUUGGUCUUCUCA
Musa acuminata subsp. malaccensis (wild Malaysian banana) is the source of this 527-nucleotide long non-coding RNA. RefSeq lists it as uncharacterized. The record is from RefSeq and is a predicted model, not a curated record. NCBI's taxonomy places the organism in Eukaryota, Viridiplantae, Streptophyta, Magnoliopsida, Zingiberales, Musaceae.